GCGAUCAGAUACCAGCGCGAGAGAGGUAAUGUAUAGAAUAACGCACCCGCCAUCUUGACCUACCCAUACCAUUAUGGAGCCGUCUGUGGCACUCAUGUUUCCUCCAUCAGUUUACAACUAUGUGACAGAGAUGCUGCAUAAGGAUAUGAUUCUGGUUUUGAAUAAAAUUGACUUAACACCAGCUCCACUGGUUAUCGCGUGGAAGCACUACUUCCAACAGAAGUACCCUGCUAUUCAUAUUCUCACCUUCACUUCAUUCCUGCUUACAACCUGAGAGGCAAUCAAGAGAACAAGGCUGGUUUACAAAUUCGUCGUAGAUGAGGGAAGCUUUGAAUGGCAGCUGAAGGAGCAAAGACACUACUUGAGGCUUGCAAGUGUAUCAUCAAUAAUAAAGGUUCCUAUUGUAUUUAAUUAAAAUUAGUUUAAUAAACACAAUCAUGGAAUCUGUUUUUUUUUCCCCCCCAUGUUCAUGGACUAGCCAUAGUUGGGUACAUUUUUCUCUUCUGAAGUAAAUAAACUAAUGGUUCUUCAUCUUCCAUCUUUAACUUGAUAUUUUAUUUUUUCAUAUAUUACAUUAUUUCAACAGAUUUGUUUGUUUCACUUAUAAUUUUGUGUAUGUAUAUUGGCUUUCUUUGAUGCAUUCAUUCACCCGUCAGUCCAUACAUACGUGGGUUACUUCAAAAGUCGUGGCAACAUAAUUUUUCCGAAUUUCGAAACCUCCGACUGGAAUUUCCAAAUUUGCCGCUGAGAGACAGCAACGUCUGAUUUCUAAUGAUGCCGCUAGAAGAUGCGGAAGUCCAAGGACAACGAAGCGAGUCCAGCGCGAAGUCAGUGUGGUCAUAACCUUCGUUGAGGAUGAAGGUUAGCCAGCUGGAACAGCGUUGCUACGUGAAAAUAGCAGUGCUUCGUGGCAGACAUGCAACUGAAUGUCACUCAUAGCUUGUGGAAGCUCUGGGUGAUCGUGCUCUACCAUACAGAACUGUUGCAAGGUGGAUAGAAGCAUUCCAACAUGGAAGAGAAGCAAGUGCCGAUGUUUCUUGUGCUGUGAUCGCCCAAUGUCUGGAGGAAGAUAGGCGCUGGUCUCUGAAGGAGUUAGAGAACAUACAGGGAUUGACCAGGCAACUGUGCAUCUAAUUUUACAAAACUCACAUUGAAUUUGUUAUUGCUUAAUCACAAUUCAAUUUUUUGAGGAUUAAAGAAUGAAAAAAAACAGUCAUUCUGUAAUGUGCAAUUUUUCUUGCCUAGUAUACCUACGCCUCUUUACAUCUACCUGAUCUGACUAAGCCAAUUGGAGGGGUAUAUCAUGCCCUUUAAUAAGCAUAUUUUGAACUUUCUUCACUGUAACGUGUUUGCCCCCCCCAAAAAAAAUAGUUGCCAUGACUUUUGAAGUAAGUAAUGAAAGUUUGUCUUGUUGCAAACUUUCUUGAUUAUGCCGUGUGGUACUGAUUUUCUCUGUUAUUAAUGUGUUCCAGAUUACAGCAAUGUACAUUUUCUUAUUCCAGGUUGUGAGUGUUUCUAGGACCCCAGGGCACAUGAAACAUUUCCAGACCAUCUACCUAACUCAUAAUGUAAGACUGUGUGACUGUCCAGGUCUUGUGUUUCCUUCCAAAGUCCCAAAGACAUUACAGAUACAGCUGUAUGCAUUUAAAAAUUAUUUUAAGAAGUUUUGGUAAGAAUUUAUGAUGCCUGCUUUCCUUCAAAUGAUUCAGCCAAUGUGGUAAUGGUAGCAAGAAAAAUAAAUAAGUUGAAGUUUUGUGUGUUGGUGAUUUCUUUUUCUACUAUAAAUGCCUCU
Long non-coding RNA from Cryptotermes secundus, 1792 nucleotides. RefSeq lists it as uncharacterized. NCBI's taxonomy places the organism in Eukaryota, Metazoa, Arthropoda, Insecta, Blattodea, Kalotermitidae. The record is from RefSeq and is a predicted model, not a curated record. The transcript is spliced from 3 exons.